Eupeodes corollae is the source of this 427-nucleotide long non-coding RNA. RefSeq lists it as uncharacterized. NCBI's taxonomy places the organism in Eukaryota, Metazoa, Arthropoda, Insecta, Diptera, Syrphidae. The record is from RefSeq and is a predicted model, not a curated record. The transcript has 2 exons.
UAUUUCUGCUUGUCUGUUUUAAAAAUUGUUGAGCAUUUUUUCAGAAUAAAAGGUGGAGAAAUUUGUUGGAAAUCAUUAGUUACUUCCCAAACAUUAGAAAGUGUCUACUUCUACUCACAAAUUUUUAAACAUGUUCUCAUCCAGAUUGAUGUUCAUUGUUCUUUUCGCUAUAAUUGCUGUUUCGACAUGUUUUUCAAACCCAAUUUUGGGUUUAGGAGACAAUGGGCCAAGUGUUGUCGUCGAACUUAUUGAUGGUAAUGGAAAAUGCAGGGACCAGACUGGACAACUAUUAGACAUCAAUGUUUGUCUUGAUCUCCUUAAAGGAAAUUCAAUAAUAUAAUUGGAAAACUAAUACAACUUACAAACCCGCCUUUUAAUCAUGAAUAACUUUUAUCUGUGAAUAAAUUAACGCUUGGCAUAAUUCAAA